GGGAUAUUGCGCAAUGGGGGCAACCCUGACGCAGCAACGCCGCGUGAAGGAUGAAGGUUUUCGGAUUGUAAACUUCUUUUGUUAGGGACGAAAAUUGACGGUACCUAACGAAUAAGCUCCGGCUAACUACGUGCCAGCAGCCGCGGUAAUACGUAGGGAGCAAGCGUUGUCCGGAUUUACUGGGUGUAAAGGGUGCGUAGGCGGCCGAGUAAGUCAGAUGUGAAAUCUAUGGGCUCAACCCAUAAACUGCAUUUGAAACUACUUGGCUUGAGUGAAGUAGAGGCAGGCGGAAUUCCCUGUGUAGCGGUGAAAUGCGUAGAGAUAGGGAGGAACACCAGUGGCGAAGGCGGCCUGCUGGGCUUUAACUGACGCUGAGGCACGAAAGCGUGGGUAGCAAACA
This 400-nucleotide ribosomal RNA is filed under the name uncultured bacterium. RNAcentral describes it as "bacterial SSU rRNA". It matches the Rfam family "Bacterial small subunit ribosomal RNA", at positions 358 to 774 of the family's 1533-position model. The record is from RNAcentral.